UACGUAGGGUGCGAGCGUUACUCGGAAUUACUGGGCGUAAAGCGUGCGCAGGCGGUUUUGUAAGCCAGAUGUGAAAUCCCCGGGCUUAACCUGGGAAUGGCAUUUGGGACUGCAAGGCUCGAGUGCGGCAGAGGAGACUGGAAUUCCUGGUGUAGCAGUGAAAUGCGCAGAUAUCAGGAGGAACACCGGUGGCGAAGGCGGGUCUCUGGGCCGAUACUGACGCUGAGGAGCGAAAGCGUGGGGAGCGAACAGG
This 253-nucleotide ribosomal RNA is filed under the name uncultured bacterium. Its description in RNAcentral is "partial 16S ribosomal RNA". It matches the Rfam family "Bacterial small subunit ribosomal RNA", at positions 524 to 776 of the family's 1533-position model. The record is from RNAcentral.